RNAcentral lists this long non-coding RNA (207 nucleotides) under Physcomitrium patens. RNAcentral describes it as "long non-coding RNA (PPAT_LNC000212)". The record is from RNAcentral. Lineage: Eukaryota; Viridiplantae; Streptophyta; Bryopsida; Funariales; Funariaceae.
CCGGAGCAAUUUCAUCUCCGAGCAAUGAAAUCAACAUUGACUAUUGAUUCAACUUUUCUCAAGCAAAUCCAAUCCAGUAUGUCCUCAGACCCUCUUGUUUAUGAUAUCGAGAAUAAUUCUUCCAAGUCUCAUGAUCCUUCUAAGUUCGAGUUCAAGAAUAAUCUAUUAUAUUUUGAAGGACGCCUAUAUGUUCCAGAAGGAGAAGCA